AUGCUAAAUGGCAUCCCGGGUGCCCAGAUCAAACACAAGAAAGGCCUAAGGCAGGGCGAUCCGUUGUCCCCUCUGCUGUUCAUCUUGGCUAUUGACCCCCUUCAUCGUCUCAUCUCCAAGGCGGCCGCUGAUGGGAUCAUUGCACCAUUGCCGGGCAGAGAUGUAAAGCUCAGAGUCAGUCUAUAUGCAGAUGAUGCAAUAAUAUUUGCAAACCCAGACAAGGCGGAAAUUGACAAGCUGCUACAACUCCUUAAGCUGUUCGGUGACGCCUCUGGCCUGCACCUCAACCAAGCAAAAUCCUCAAUAAGCCCCAUCAGAUGCGAUGAGCUGGACCUGGAUCUCAUUCUGCAGAGUUUUGGAGGGCAAAUCAGGCCUUUCCCAAUAACAUACCUUGGUCUUCCGAUCAGGCUGGGACGACUACGACUUGUGCAUCUGCAGUUUGUACUUGAUAGGACAAGAGUUAGGCUGGCCGGCUGGAAGGGCAAGUUAAUAUCAAUUGCUGGAAGAAGGGUGUUAGUCCGUUGUGUUCUCACGGCAAUCCCCACUUUUGCCCUGUCCGUGUUACGAGCGCCGAAAAAAUUCUUCAAGGAAGUUGACAAAGCAAGGUGGCGCUUUCUCUGGGCACAGGAUGAUGACCUCGCCGGAGGAAAAUGCAAGGUCAACUGGACGACGGUUUGCUCGCCAACGGAAAAAGGGGGAUUGGGAAUCCACAACUUGAGCAAAUUCUCCAGAGCCCUCCGGUUGCGCUGGCUAUGGCUUGCCUGGCACCACCAAGAACGCCCGUGGGCAGGCACUAAGCUGCCAUGCAAUCAGCAAGACACGACUCUGUUUGCUGCUGCCACAACGGUGACCCUCGGCGACGGGAAGACGGCCUCUUUUUGGAGCUCCACCUGGCUCACCUCGCCACCGUUGGCCGCCUUGUUCCCCGACCUGUUCAAAAGAUCGAGAGGAAAACAGAAAACGGUGGCGGCUGCGCUGCAUAAUGACUCAUGGAUUCAGGAUCUGCGACAUCGAGGCUACGACGACAUCGCUACAAGCUUCCUUCUCAUGUGGCGCGUCAUUGCAGGUGCAAACACGCUGUUGCAAGCAGGGACCCAAGACACCAUCAGAUGGAUUUUUGACGCCUCCGGGAAAUACUCAGCAGGCUCGGCAUACAAGGUCCAAUUCGCGGAGACUCAAUAG
RNAcentral lists this ribosomal RNA (1182 nucleotides) under Triticum aestivum (bread wheat). Its description in RNAcentral is "partial small subunit ribosomal RNA". Lineage: Eukaryota; Viridiplantae; Streptophyta; Magnoliopsida; Poales; Poaceae. The record is from RNAcentral.